UUUGAAUAUGGCUCAGGACGAACGCCUGGCGGCGUGCUUAACACAUUGCAAGUUCGAACGAUGAAGCCUAUCCUGCUAGGUGGAUUAGUUGGCGAACGGGUGAGUAAUACGUGAGUUGACCUACCUUUGACUCUGGGAUAAGCCUGGGAAACUGGGUCUAAUACCGGAUACGACCAAUCUCCGCAUGGGGUGUUGGUGGAAAGCGUUAUGGAGUGGUUUUAGAUGGGCUCACGGCCUAUCAGCUUGUUGGUGAGGUAAUGGCUUACCAAGGCGACGACGGGUAGCCGGCCUGAGAGGGUGACCGGCCACACUGGGACUGAGACACGGCCCAGACUCCUACGGGAGGCAGCAGUGGGGAAUAUUGCACAAUGGGCGCAAGCCUGAUGCAGCGACGCCGCGUGAGGGAUGACGGCCUUCGGGUUGUAAACCUCUGUUAGCAUCGAAGAAGCGAAAGUGACGGUAGGUGCAGAGAAAGCGCCGGCUAACUACGUGCCAGCAGCCGCGGUAAUACGUAGGGCGCGAGCGUUGUCCGGAAUUAUUGGGCGUAAAGAGCUUGUAGGCGGUUGGUCGCGUCUGCUGUGAAAGGCUGGGGCUUAACCCUGGUUUUGCAGUGGGUACGGGCUAACUAGAGUGCAGUAGGGGAGACUGGAAUUCCUGGUGUAGCGGUGGAAUGCGCAGAUAUCAGGAGGAACACCGAUGGCGAAGGCAGGUCUCUGGGCUGUAACUGACGCUGAGAAGCGAAAGCAUGGGGAGCGAGCAGGAUUAGAUACCCUGGUAGUCCAUGCCGUAAACGUUGGGCACUAGGUGUGGGGGACAUUCCACGUUUUCCGCGCCGUAGCUAACGCAUUAAGUGCCCCGCCUGGGGAGUACGGCCGCAAGGCUAAAACUCAAAGAAAUUGACGGGGGCCCGCACAAGCGGCGGAGCAUGCGGAUUAAUUCGAUGCAACGCGAAGAACCUUACCAAGGCUUGACAUAUACUGGACUGCGUCAGAGAUGGCGUUUCCCCUCGGGGCUGGUAUACAGGUGGUGCAUGGUUGUCGUCAGCUCGUGUCGUGAGAUGUUGGGUUAAGUCCCGCAACGAGCGCAACCCUCGUUCUAUGUUGCCAGCACGUGAUGGUGGGGACUCAUAGGAGACUGCCGGGGUCAACUCGGAGGAAGGUGGGGAUGACGUCAAAUCAUCAUGCCCCUUAUGUCUUGGGCUUCACGCAUGCUACAAUGGCCGGUACAGAGGGUUGCGAUACUGUGAGGUGGAGCUAAUCCCUAAAAGCCGGUCUCAGUUCGGAUUGGGGUCUGCAACUCGACCCCGUGAAGUUCGGAGUCGCUAGUGAAUCGCGAAUUCAGCGAACGGCUGCGGUAAUGACGUUUCCCGGGCCUUCCCGCCCCGCCC
Molecule: ribosomal RNA, 1387 nt
Filed under: uncultured bacterium
Lineage: Bacteria
Description: bacterial SSU rRNA
Rfam family: Bacterial small subunit ribosomal RNA
Source: RNAcentral